RNAcentral lists this ribosomal RNA (492 nucleotides) under uncultured bacterium. Its description in RNAcentral is "partial 16S ribosomal RNA". It matches the Rfam family "Bacterial small subunit ribosomal RNA", at positions 29 to 507 of the family's 1533-position model. The record is from RNAcentral.
AGUGAAAGCUGGCGGUAGGCCUAACACAUGCAAGUUGAACGGCGGCACAGUAAGAGUUUGCUCUUACGGGUGGCGAGUGGCGGAUGGGAGAGGAAUACAUCGGAAUCUACUUUUUCGUGGGGGAUAACGUCGGGAAACUUACGCCAAUACCGCAUACGACCUACGGGUGAAAGCAGGGGAUCUUCGGACCUUGCGCGAUUGAAUGAGCCGAUGUCGGAUUAGCUAGUUGGCGUGGUAAAGGCCCACGUAGGCGACGCUCCGUAGCUGGUCUAAUAGGAUGAUCAGCCCCACUAGAACCCAGCCACCGUCCAGACUACGACGGAAGGCACCAGUGGGAAAUAUUGGACAAUGGACGCAAGCCCGAUCCAGCCAUACCGCGUGGAUGAAGAAAGCCUUCGGGUUGUAAAGCCCUUUUGUUGGGAAAGAAAAGGAAAAAGUUAAUGCGCCGCUGUUCUGACGGUACACAAAGAAUAAGCACGGUCUAACUACGUG